GCAGUCGAGCGAGCUGAAUUCAAAGAUCCCUUCGGGAUGAUUUGUUGGACGCUAGCGGCGGAUGGGUGAGUAACACGUGGGCAAUCUGCCCUAAAGACUGGGAUACCACUUGGAAACAGGUGCUAAUACCGGAUAACAACAUGAAUCGCAUGAUUCAAGUUUGAAAGGCGGCGCAAGCUGUCACUUUAGGAUGAGCCCGCGGCGCAUUAGCUAGUUGGUGGGGUAAAGGCCUACCAAGGCAAUGAUGCGUAGCCGAGUUGAGAGACUGAUCGGCCACAUUGGGACUGAGACACGGCCCAAACUCCUACGGGAGGCAGCAGUAGGGAAUCUUCCACAAUGGACGCAAGUCUGAUGGAGCAACGCCGCGUGAGUGAAGAAGGUCUUCGGAUCGUAAAGCUCUGUUGUUGGUGAAGAAGGAUAGAGGCAGUAACUGGUCUUUAUUUGACGGUAAUCAACCAGAAAGUCACGGCUAACUACGUGCCAGCAGCCGCGGUAAUACGUAGGUGGCAAGCGUUGUCCGGAUUUAUUGGGCGUAAAGCGAGCGCAGGCGGAAUGAUAAGUCUGAUGUGAAAGCCCACGGCUCAACCGUGGAACUGCAUCGGAAACUGUCAUUCUUGAGUGCAGAAGAGGAGAGUGGAACUCCAUGUGUAGCGGUGGAAUGCGU
Molecule: ribosomal RNA, 664 nt
Filed under: Lactobacillus delbrueckii subsp. lactis
Lineage: Bacteria; Bacillati; Bacillota; Bacilli; Lactobacillales; Lactobacillaceae
Description: bacterial SSU rRNA
Rfam family: Bacterial small subunit ribosomal RNA
Source: RNAcentral